RNAcentral lists this ribosomal RNA (269 nucleotides) under uncultured prokaryote. RNAcentral's name for it is "partial 16S ribosomal RNA". It matches the Rfam family "Bacterial small subunit ribosomal RNA", at positions 524 to 792 of the family's 1533-position model. The record is from RNAcentral.
UACGGAGGGUGCAAGCGUUACCCGGAAUCAUUGGGCGUAAAGCGUCCGCAGGCGGUAUGUUAAGUAAGAUGUUAAAUUUUGCAGCUCAACUGUAAAUCUAUAUCUUAAACUGGCAAACUAGAGUAUUGGAGAGGUGCGUAGAAUUCUGUGUGUAGGGGUAAAAUCCGUAGAUACACAGAGGAAUACCAAAAGCGAAGGCAGCGCACUGGCCAAUUACUGACGCUCAGGGACGAAAGCGUGGGUAGCGAACGGGAUUAGAUACCCCCGUA